AAACCAUUUGGUUAAAGAUUUUUUCAAUCCAAAUGAUUCGGUUUGGUUUAAACCGAAACGAAAAACCAAAGUUUUUAAUCAAAUUAAUUAAAUAUAGUAAUAUAAUAAUAGUAUUAAAAUUUAAUAUAUUUAACCAUUUAACCUAGACAACUAAACAUCUUAUAAUAUAAAAAAAAGAUAUUGUUUCUCUUCUGGUAAGUCCACACGUCAGAAAAUCAGUGUUUCUGGACACGACACGUGGCAUGAUUUAAACAUUUCGCAAGUUUUGGUUUUAGGCUAUUAUUUGGGCUUGAUAAAUUGAUUAAUUCAUGGUGGGUUGCUUAUUGUUCGUAGUCCGUUCUAGGAGCAUCCGCCUUCUCCAUAAAAUAACUUCACUGAAACCCUAAGAGACGAUUCUGUAAAUCUUCUACGAGAAACUUGAAACGCUUGGUGGUUAUGCCCAAGCGAAGAGACGUAUUCAACGCAGUCAUCAACCAUUGUCGAUCAAUCCUUCAAGCUUCCCCAUUUAUUGCCUUCGUCAAUAUUUACGACUAUAAAAAGUUUUGGUGGAACAGAUAGCGUGGUUGGAAUAACCAGAAUGCCAUCAUCCUUGAUACAGAUGGUACAAAGUUAAGCUACGAACAAAACUAAGAGGCCUCAUAAUGAAAGAGCGGAACCUUGAGAAGUGAGCCAAUAGCUACCCGCAUCUGGUUCCUAAUAGUGUUCAGGUUCCUCAAUCUCUUCACUGGCCAGCUCUGUUGUCUUGCCUUAGACAAAACAUAAUGGAGGUGGUGUAUGACUGGGCAAAACGAUCUAAGUUUUAUGAGAUCAUGGAGAUUGCUGUGUUCUUAAAGGGAGCUUGGCUUGAUCAGAACAACAAGGAGAAUGGGAGGAAGUUCUGCAAAAAGCUCAUAGUAGCUGGAAAUUUUACAUGCUAGAAGAAGCUGUUUCCCAGAUCAAGAGAGACAUUGUAUUUGCAGCAUUUGGUUUAUCUCCACCAACAUUAAUGGAACAAAAGAUUUCAAUAGGAUUUCACCAAGGUUUUGUUUUACUCUUCAAAAAUAGUUACAUGCAA
Molecule: long non-coding RNA, 1054 nt
Organism: Brassica napus (rape)
Lineage: Eukaryota; Viridiplantae; Streptophyta; Magnoliopsida; Brassicales; Brassicaceae
Exons: 3
Source: RefSeq, a predicted model, not a curated record